Molecule: ribosomal RNA, 253 nt
Filed under: uncultured bacterium
Lineage: Bacteria
Description: partial 16S ribosomal RNA
Rfam family: Bacterial small subunit ribosomal RNA
Source: RNAcentral
GACAGAGGGUGCAAGCGUUGUUCGGAAUUAUUGGGCGUAAAGCGCACGUAGGCGGCGAGCUAAGUCGCAUGUGAAAGCCCAUGGCUCAACCAUGGAAGUGCAUGCGAGACUGGCUGGCUCGAGUGUCGGAGAGGGUGGUGGAAUUCCCAGUGUAGAGGUGAAAUUCGUAGAUAUUGGGAGGAACACCAGUGGCGAAGGCGACCACCUGGACGACUACUGACGCUGAGGUGCGAGAGCGUGGGGAGCAAACAGG